AAAGCAACUGAUACUAUAUUCCCUAGCAUAGGGUCAUGUUUGGAGUAAAAGAGGUUUGGCGACCAAUUAGGGUAGGGUUAUGGGCUAGAAAGCACUAUAAAAAGAGGAAUCCAAAUAGAAGGUUGAAACCCAAGAGACAUAUUCAUUAGAACAGCAACCUCAACUAGUUGGUAAUGGAUUAAGCAUUCGUAGUGCUUAUAUCUCAUAAUUAAAGCAUAUAUUGCUUGCCUACGCUCCAGAGAAGGAUAGUAUUAGUUUUUUGCGAUAUAAUGUUGCUAGAACU
This 283-nucleotide long non-coding RNA is filed under the name Elaeis guineensis (African oil palm). RNAcentral describes it as "long non-coding RNA (EGUI_LNC018299)". The record is from RNAcentral. Lineage: Eukaryota; Viridiplantae; Streptophyta; Magnoliopsida; Arecales; Arecaceae.